This 492-nucleotide ribosomal RNA is filed under the name uncultured bacterium. RNAcentral's name for it is "partial 16S ribosomal RNA". It matches the Rfam family "Bacterial small subunit ribosomal RNA", at positions 29 to 507 of the family's 1533-position model. The record is from RNAcentral.
AGUGAACGCUGGCGGUAGGCCUAACACAUGCAAGUCGAACGGCAGCACAGUAAGAGCUUGCUCUUACGGGUGGCGAGUGGCGGACGGGUGAGGAAUACAUCGGAAUCUACUUUUUCGUGGGGGAUAACGUAGGGAAACUUACGCUAAUACCGCAUACGACCUACGGGUGAAAACAGGGGAUCUUCGGACCUUGCGCGAUUGAAUGAGCCGAUGUCGGAUUAGCUAGUUGGCGGGGUAAAGGCCCACCAAGGCGACGAUCCGUAGCUGGUCUGAGAGGAUGAUCAGCCACACUGGAACUGAGACACGGUCCAGACUCCUACGGGAGGCAGCAGUGGGGAAUAUUGGACAAUGGGCGGAAGCCUGAUCCAGCCAUACCGCGUGAGUGAAGAAGGCCUUCGGGUUGUAAAGCCCUUUUGUUGGGAAAGAAAAGCAGCAGGUUAAUCCCCCGCUGUUCUGACGGUCCCCAAAGAAUAAGCACCGGCUAACUUCGUG